AUUAUAUCAGUAAUAAUUUCUUCGGUAGUUUCUUUUAUAUGGAUACCUGCAGUAAUUCUGGAAAUAAUACAUGCUGUAAGAGCCCUGUAUGGGGCUGCACUUAUUAGAUUGAAGCCGAUUUUAUUGGUGAAUCAUGAUAAUUGAGCAGAUUGACUUUUUUGGUCGAUGAAUCGUUUGAGUUUCUGCCCCAUCAGUUGUCGACGGUAGUGUAUUGGACUACGGUGACUAUAACGGGGGACGGAAAGUUAGGGCUCGACUCCGGAAAGGGAGCCUGAGAGACGGCUACCAUAUCCAAGGAUAGCAGCAGGCGCGUAAAUUACCCACUGGGGACUCCACGAGGUAGUGACGAGAAAUAUCGAUGCGAAGCGUGUAUGCGUUUUGCUAUCGGAAUGAGAGCAAUGUAAAACCCUCAUCGAGGAUCAACUGGAGGGCAAGUCUGGUGCCAGCAGCCGCGGUAAUUCCAGCUCCAGAAGCAUAUGCUAAAGUUGUUGCAGUUAAAAAGCUCGUAGUUGAAUUUCUGGCAUGGGCGACCGGUGCUUUCCCUGAAUGGGGAUUGAUUGUCUGUGUUGCCUUGGCCAUCUUUUUCUUUUCUUUAUUGGGGAGAAAUCUUUCACUGUAAUCAAAGCAGAGUGUUCCAAGCAGGUCGUAUGACCGGUAUGUUUAUUAUGGGAUGAUAAAAUAGGACUUGGGUGCUAUUUUGUUGGUUUGCACGCCUGAGUAAUGGUUAAUAGGAACAGUUGGGGGUAUUCGUAUUUAGGAGCUAGAGGUGAAAUUCUUGGAUUUCCGAAAGACGAACUAGAGCGAAGGCAUUUACCAAGCAUGUUUUCAUUAAUCAAGAACGAAAGUCUGGGGAUCGAAGAUGAUUAGAUACCAUCGUAGUCUAGACCGUAAACGAUGCCGACUUGCGAUUGUUGGGUGCUUUUUUAUGGGCCUCAGCAGCAGCACAUGAGAAAUCAAAGUCUUUGGGUUCCGGGGGGAGUAUGGGCCCAAGGGUGAAACUUAAAGGAAUUGACGGAAGGGCACCACCAGGAGUGGAGCCUGCGGCUUAAUUUGACUCAACACGGGAAAACUUACCAGGUCCAGACAUAGGUAGGAUUGACAGAUUGAGAGCUCUUUCAUGAUUCUAUGGGUGGUGGUGCAUGGCCGUUCUUAGUUGGUGGAGUGAUUUGUCUGGUUAAUUCCGUUAACGAACGAGACCUCGGCCUACUAAAUAGUGCGUGGUAUGGCAACAUAAUACGUUUUUACUUCUUAGAGGGACAUGUCCGGUUUACGGGCAGGAAAUUCGAGGCAAUAACAGGUCUGUGAUGCCCUUAGAUGUUCU
This 1321-nucleotide ribosomal RNA is filed under the name Aurantiochytrium sp. RNAcentral describes it as "SSU rRNA". It matches the Rfam family "Eukaryotic small subunit ribosomal RNA", at positions 100 to 1483 of the family's 1831-position model. The record is from RNAcentral. Lineage: Eukaryota; Bigyra; Thraustochytrida; Thraustochytriidae.